GACGAACGCUGGCGGCGUGCUUAACACAUGCAAGUCGAACGGAAAGGCCCUGCUUUUGUGGGGUGCUCGAGUGGCGAACGGGUGAGUAACACGUGAGUAACCUGCCCUUGACUUUGGGAUAACUUCAGGAAACUGGGGCUAAUACCGGAUAGGAGCUCCUGCUGCAUGGUGGGGGUUGGAAAGUUUCGGCGGGUGGGGAUGGACUCGCGGCUUAUCAGCUUGUUGGUGGGGUAGUGGCUUACCAAGGCUUUGACGGGUAGCCGGCCUGAGAGGGUGACCGGCCACAUUGGGACUGAGAUACGGCUCAGACUCCUACGGGAGGCAGCAGUGGGAAAUAUUGCACAAUGGGCGGAAGCCUGAUGCAGCAACGCCGCGUGCGGGAUGACGGCCUUCGGGUUGUAAACCGCUUUCGCCUGUGACGAAGCGUGAGUGACGGUAAUGGGUAAAGAAGCACCGGCUAACUACGUG
RNAcentral lists this ribosomal RNA (468 nucleotides) under uncultured bacterium. RNAcentral describes it as "partial 16S ribosomal RNA". It matches the Rfam family "Bacterial small subunit ribosomal RNA", at positions 28 to 507 of the family's 1533-position model. The record is from RNAcentral.